RNAcentral lists this non-coding RNA (112 nucleotides) under Nocardioides sp. Lineage: Bacteria; Bacillati; Actinomycetota; Actinomycetes; Propionibacteriales; Nocardioidaceae. The record is from RNAcentral. RNAcentral also lists the same sequence under 1 other name.
AGGCUGCACAUCGCUCGUGGCCCAGGAACCCGGUGAGACUCCGGGGCGGUUCCGCCACUGUGAUCCUCCGUCAGGAGGGCAGCCAGACACUGGCCGCGGGCACGUCCGACCG